RNAcentral lists this transfer RNA (171 nucleotides) under Leiocephalus personatus (Haitian curlytail lizard). Its description in RNAcentral is "tRNA-Tyr". The stretch from base 1 to 71 matches the Rfam family "tRNA". Lineage: Eukaryota; Metazoa; Chordata; Lepidosauria; Squamata; Leiocephalidae. The record is from RNAcentral.
GGUAAAAUGGCCGAGUGUUUAGGCGGUAGGCUGUAGUCCUAUUUACAGGGGUUUAAUUCCCUUUUUUACCAAAGCCACGUGGUGUACAUAACACAUUAAAAUGCAAGUUUAAAGAAGAGCCCUGAAAGGCUCCGGGGCUUCUCCCGUUUUUUUAACAGACGGGAGAAGCUA